Molecule: non-coding RNA, 593 nt
Organism: Drosophila melanogaster (fruit fly)
Lineage: Eukaryota; Metazoa; Arthropoda; Insecta; Diptera; Drosophilidae
Source: Ensembl
ACUGCACAAGUUCUUAGCCGCCAUGGCAUUGAAAUAUUCCUAUGAAAAUGAUGCACUUUUAUGCGAACCGAGAAAAAAACAGAGAGACAGAGACAGAGAAAGAGAGGGAGGGCGAAAGUUCAAUGACCUUUGACUGCGAGUAUCGGUAUCGGUAUCAGACGAAGAAGAGGAGCACCGAGCGGGGUCCAAAGCUUUGGAUUGUUAUGGCUUUAAUGGUAUGGUGUUUAAAAUAUAGAAUGAGCACUUGUGAUUCGCAACAAAAACAAGCUUCGGUGAUCGAAUCGAUCGGAAAGCUCUCCGUAGGCUCUAAAAACAGGUUUAAUGUGGUUCUUGGCAGGAGGAACCUACAUAUGUAUGUAUGUAUGUGUAUAAUACUCACCGAUCGGUAUCGUGGACUGGAAAACGACGCAGAUCAUUGGGCUUUACAUCCUGGCAACCCAUCAGACAAAUCCUGGAGGAAGGUGGCAAUACUGGUUCCGGCCCAUUCGCGCUAGGAUUUAGCGACACAGCCUGGCAAAUCCGAAGAGUGGUUAUCGUAUUCGUCAUCUAUCAAAUAUUAUUUUAAAAUUGGAUAAAAUCACUCAUUUUAAUUU